CACUAUCGUUAACUGAAUACAUAGGUUAACGAGGCGAACCGGGGGAACUGAAACAUCUAAGUACCCCGAGGAAAAGAAAUCAACCGAGAUUCCCCCAGUAGCGGCGAGCGAACGGGGAGCAGCCCAGAGUCUGAAUCAGCUUGUGUGUUAGUGGAACGGUCUGGAAAGUCCGACGGUACAGGGUGAUAGUCCCGUACACCAAAAUGCACAGGUUGUGAACUCGAAGAGUAGGGCGGGACACGUGGUAUCCUGUCUGAAUAUGGGGGGACCAUCCUCCAAGGCUAAAUACUCCUGACUGACCGAUAGUGAACCAGUACCGUGAGGGAAAGGCGAAAAGAACCCCGGCGAGGGGAGUGAAAAAGAACCUGAAACCGUGUACGUACAAGCAGUGGGAGCACCUUCGGGUGUGACUGCGUACCUUUUGUAUAAUGGGUCAGCGACUUAUAUUCUGUAGCAAGGUUAACCGUAUAGGGGAGCCGCAGGGAAACCGAGUCUUAACUGGGCGUUAAGUUGCAGGGUAUAGACCCGAAACCCGGUGAUCUAGCCAUGGGCAGGUUGAAGGUUGGGUAACACUAACUGGAGGACCGAACCGACUAAUGUUGAAAAAUUAGCGGAUGACUUGUGGCUGGGGGUGAAAGGCCAAUCAAACCGGGAGAUAGCUGGUUCUCCCCGAAAGCUAUUUAGGUAGCGCCUCGUGAAUUCAUCUUCGGGGGUAGAGCACUGUUUCGGCUAGGGGGUCAUCCCGACUUACCAACCCGAUGCAAACUACGAAUACCGAAGAAUGUUAUCACGGGAGACACACGGCGGGUGCUAACGUCCGUCGUGAAGAGGGAAACAACCCAGACCGCCAGCUAAGGUCCCAAAGUCAUGGUUAAGUGGGAAACGAUGUGGGAAGGCACAGACAGCCAGGAUGUUGGCUUAGAAGCAGCCAUCAUUUAAAGAAAGCGUAAUAGCUCACUGGUCGAGUCGGCCUGCGCGGAAGAUGUAACGGGGCUAAACCAUGCACCGAAGCUGCGGCAGCGACACUAUGUGUUGUUGGGUAGGGGAGCGUUCUGUAAGCCUGCGAAGGUGUGCUGUGAGGCAUGCUGGAGGUAUCAGAAGUGCGAAUGCUGACAUAAGUAACGAUAAAGCGGGUGAAAAGCCCGCUCGCCGGAAGACCAAGGGUUCCUGUCCAACGUUAAUCGGGGCAGGGUGAGUCGACCCCUAAGGCGAGGCCGAAAGGCGUAGUCGAUGGGAAACAGGUUAAUAUUCCUGUACUUGGUGUUACUGCGAAGGGGGGACGGAGAAGGCUAUGUUAGCCGGGCGACGGUUGUCCCGGUUUAAGCAUGUAGGCUGGUU
Molecule: ribosomal RNA, 1338 nt
Filed under: Klebsiella pneumoniae
Lineage: Bacteria; Pseudomonadati; Pseudomonadota; Gammaproteobacteria; Enterobacterales; Enterobacteriaceae
Description: partial 23S ribosomal RNA
Rfam family: Bacterial large subunit ribosomal RNA
Source: RNAcentral